CUACGGGAGGCUGCAGUGGGGAAUAUUGCACAAUGGGGGGAACCCUGAUGCAGCAACGCCGCGUGGAGGAUGACGCAUUUCGGUGUGUAAACUCCUUUUAUAUGUCAAGAAAAUGACGGUAGCAUAUGAAUAAGCACCGGCUAACUCCGUGCCAGCAGCCGCGGUAAUACGGAGGGUGCAAGCGUUACUCGGAAUCACUGGGCGUAAAGGACGCGUAGGCGGGCUUGUAAGUCAGGUGUGAAAUCCUACAGCUUAACUGUAGAACUGCACUUGAAACUACGAGCCUAGAGUAUGGGAGGGGGAGAUGGAAUUAGUGGUGUAGGGGUAAAAUCCGUAGAUAUCACUAGGAAUACCUAAAGCGAAGGCGAUCUCCUGGAACAUUACUGACGCUAAGGCGUGAAAGCGUGGGGAGCAAACAGGAUUAGAUACCCUCGUAGUC
This 439-nucleotide ribosomal RNA is filed under the name uncultured bacterium. RNAcentral's name for it is "partial 16S ribosomal RNA". It matches the Rfam family "Bacterial small subunit ribosomal RNA", at positions 339 to 795 of the family's 1533-position model. The record is from RNAcentral.